UAUGAUAUAUUAGCAAUGAGUAACUGACCCUGUACAUGUACAAUGAGGAUCCUUCAUAAUUCUGAAAUAUGUUUACCACUGAGCGAUAUAAAUUUUUUGCUGCCAUACUUCAUAGAUAACUGAGGAUUUGGGAGACACAUUACCUAUAUAGGCUCUACCAGUCUUUUCCUUUUUCAGAUUCUUAUUUUAAGCAUUUCCAUGUUGGCAUUCUUAACAAUUGCUCACAUUUCAUUGAACCUAACCUUGUAAAAGUUAAGAAGUUAAUCAGACUCUCUUUUGUUUUACAGUUGAAGACUUAUGAUACCUAUCUAUUCAAAAUUUCUAAUUGGACAUCCACGUGAACAUUAGGGUUGGGGAUCCUCAAGGUACCAUAUGGACAGCCCCUUCGAGUGUCUCUUGAUGCAAACAAAGAAAGGUCGGCGGGUUUUAACAUAACCUUUCAAAGCAUCGCCUCAUCGCGUGGCUAAGAACAUCUACGUGGAUAGGAUUGGAUUCAUAGUGCAAAUUAGGAGUAGGUACAAACCUUCAUUCAUCUUUUCCGAUCUCUACCUUGGAAUAUCCAUCAUCUUGGUGAAAAAUGUGUUGAUUUCGCCUCGUGUUAUUUAUUAUCUAUAAAUAUUAUAUUUUCAUUAAUUCUCUCCGACUUAAAGGGUAACAAGUUAGUAAUCUUUCUCUCUUUUGUUUUCUGACAUUAAACUGUUUCACAAUCAUCUGUAUCAAGGUUCCUAUAAAUUGCCCCCCUCCCCACACACACACACCAAAAAAAAAAAAAAAA
This 775-nucleotide long non-coding RNA is filed under the name Nicotiana benthamiana. RNAcentral's name for it is "long non-coding RNA (NBEN_LNC002501)". The record is from RNAcentral. Lineage: Eukaryota; Viridiplantae; Streptophyta; Magnoliopsida; Solanales; Solanaceae.